GGAGGGUUGGCAGAGUUGGUCGAAUGCACCGGUUUUGAAAACCGGCGACCGUCAGGUCCGGGGGUUCGAAUCCCUCACCCUCCG
This 84-nucleotide transfer RNA is filed under the name Planctomycetota bacterium. RNAcentral describes it as "Planctomycetes bacterium tRNA-Ser". It matches the Rfam family "tRNA". From Rfam's summary of the family: Transfer RNA (tRNA) molecules are approximately 80 nucleotides in length. Their secondary structure includes four short double-helical elements and three loops (D, anti-codon, and T loops). Lineage: Bacteria; Pseudomonadati; Planctomycetota. The record is from RNAcentral.